CCCAGACUCCUACGGGAGGCAGCAGUGGGGGAUAUUGCACAAUGGGGGGAACCCUGAUGCAGCGACGCCGCGUGGGUGAAGAAGUAUUUCGGUAUGUAAAGCCCUAUCGGCAGGGAAGAAAUUGGACGGUACCUGACUAAGAAGCCCCGGCUAACUACGUGCCAGCAGCCGCGGUAAUACGUAGGGGGCAAGCGUUAUCCGGAUUCACUGGGUGUAAAGGGAGCGUAGACGGCCAUGCAAGCCUGGAGUGAAAGCCCGGGGCCCAACCCCGGGACUGCUCUGGGAACUGUGCGGCUGGAGUGCGGGAGGGGCAGGCGGAAUUCCUGGUGUAGCGGUGAAAUGCGUAGAUAUCAGGAGGAACACCGGCGGCGAAGGCGGCCUGCUGGACCGCGACUGACGUUGAGGCUCGAAAGCGUGGGGAGCAAACAGGAUUAGAUACCCGUGUAA
This 447-nucleotide ribosomal RNA is filed under the name uncultured bacterium. RNAcentral's name for it is "bacterial SSU rRNA". It matches the Rfam family "Bacterial small subunit ribosomal RNA", at positions 330 to 793 of the family's 1533-position model. The record is from RNAcentral.